CCCUUAGAUGUCCGGGGCUGCACGCGCGCUACACUGAAGGAAUCAGCGUGCUAAAACCAUUGUCGAAAGGCAUUGGUAAACCCAUUAAAAUCCUACGUGAUUGGGAUCGGGAAUUGCAAUUAUUUCCCUUGAACGAGGAAUUCCCAGUAAGUGUGGGUCAUAAGCUCGCGUUGAUUACGUCCCUGCCCUUUGUACACACCGCCCGUCGCUGCCCGGGACUGAGCCGUUUCGAGAAAAGCGGGGACUGCUGCUGUCGGGGCUUUCGGGCCUUGGCUUCGGUGGAAACCGUUUUAAUCGCAGUGGCUUGAACCGGGCAAAAGUCGUAACA
This 328-nucleotide ribosomal RNA is filed under the name uncultured eukaryote. Its description in RNAcentral is "partial 18S ribosomal RNA". It matches the Rfam family "Eukaryotic small subunit ribosomal RNA", at positions 1470 to 1796 of the family's 1831-position model. The record is from RNAcentral.